UACGGAGGGUGCAAGCGUUGUUCGGAAUUAUUGGGCGUAAAGGGCGUGUAGGCGGUUUCUUAAGUCUGAUGUGAAAGCCCCGGGCUCAACCUGGGAAGUGCAUUGGAAACUGGGAGACUUGAGUACGGGAGAGGGCAGUGGAAUUCCUGGUGUAGGAGUGAAAUCCGUAGAUAUCAGGAGGAACACCGGUGGCGAAGGCGGCUGCCUGGACCGAUACUGACGCUGAGACGCGAAAGCGUGGGGAGCAAACAGG
Molecule: ribosomal RNA, 253 nt
Filed under: uncultured bacterium
Lineage: Bacteria
Description: partial 16S ribosomal RNA
Rfam family: Bacterial small subunit ribosomal RNA
Source: RNAcentral